CGUAUAAGUCCAUUGCAUACUGGAACCGGGUGGUCCCUGUAUUAAGCCUAUGGGAGUGAGAGAAUUCAGUAGUCCACGGGUUAACAACAUAAUACCCGCGAGGCUAGACUAGACUGCGCGCGCUGGCGCUAGCGCGCUCGCUGCUUAUAAUGCAGUAAUAGCGUAUGCCAGGCGGCCAUGCCAUGCCAGGCCUUGUACGUAUACUCGCACAAACUGAGAAGAUUUAGUUCAUUGAGAAUGGAUGGAAACUGAUGAAGAGCUGGAAGGAGCUAACUGAUGAGUAGACAUUACAACAUUUCUUAUAUUUUCAAGAUGAAGCUGAAAGUCCCAUGCAGGAUGAUGCUUCUCUACAGGGGAUGAUGAAAGCAUGCUGAUUACAAACCCAGGAGAGGAAUAAAGAACAGAUAUUGACAGAAUCAUAUCUAGAGAUGUGGGCCUACUGCACUUCAUACAAGCAAGUGUGCUAAUAUACCAUACUUGGGUUAUCAUCACAGCCCUUUCUUCUGAAAACUAGCCUACAACUUCAUCGUUGAAUGCAGAAGACAUCUACAUGGGACUACGUUUUAAAGAUGCCCCCUCAUAUAAUGAAAGAGGACAGUAGAGAUGGGUUUAAUCUUGAAUAUUUACAUACUAUUUAUUUAUUAUUUGUAUUAUAUGUUUGUAGAA
This is a long non-coding RNA of Strongylocentrotus purpuratus (purple sea urchin), 666 nucleotides long. RefSeq lists it as uncharacterized. The transcript is spliced from 4 exons. The record is from RefSeq and is a predicted model, not a curated record. Lineage: Eukaryota; Metazoa; Echinodermata; Echinoidea; Camarodonta; Strongylocentrotidae.